RNAcentral lists this ribosomal RNA (446 nucleotides) under uncultured bacterium. RNAcentral describes it as "partial 16S ribosomal RNA". It matches the Rfam family "Bacterial small subunit ribosomal RNA", at positions 338 to 795 of the family's 1533-position model. The record is from RNAcentral.
CCUACGGGAGGCAGCAGUCGAGAAUCAUUCACAAUGGGGGAAACCCUGAUGGUGCGACGCCGCGUGGGGGAAUGAAGGUCUUCGGAUUGUAAACCCCUGUCAUGUGGGAGCAAAUUAAAAAGAUAGUACCACAAGAGGAAGCGACGGCUAACUCUGUGCCAGCAGCCGCGGUAAUACAGAGGUCUCAAGCGUUGUUCGGAAUCACUGGGCGUAAGGCGUGCGGAGGCUGUUUCGUAAGUCGUGUGUGAAAGGCGCGGGCUCAACCCGCGGACGGCACAUGAUACUGCGAGACUAGAGUAAUGGAGGGGGAAGCGGAAUUCUCGGUGUAGCAGUGAAAUGCGUAGAUAUCGAGAGGAACACUCGUGGCGAAGGCGGGUUCCUGGACAUUAACUGACGCUGAGGCACGAAGGCCAGGGGAGCGAAAGGGAUUAGAUACCCUGGUAGUC